This 316-nucleotide non-coding RNA is filed under the name Paenibacillus dendritiformis. Its description in RNAcentral is "T-box sequence". It matches the Rfam family "T-box leader". From Rfam's summary of the family: Uncharged tRNA acts as the effector for transcription antitermination of genes in the T-box leader family. T-boxes are found upstream of many aminoacyl-tRNA synthetase genes and some amino acid biosynthetic genes usually in Gram-positive bacteria. The anticodon of a specific tRNA base pairs to a specifier sequence within the T-box motif, and the NCCA acceptor tail of the tRNA base pairs to a conserved bulge in the T-box antiterminator hairpin. The record is from RNAcentral. Lineage: Bacteria; Bacillati; Bacillota; Bacilli; Caryophanales; Paenibacillaceae.
UGACACGCAAUGAACAGGAGCAGUAGAGGAUAACGGUCCGAACCAGAGAGCUGCGGGAUGGUGCGACGCAGCGGCGGUUGCCUUGAACUCGCCUGGGAGCGGAACGGCGGAAUGCCGGCUUGAGAUGCGGAAGCAGGUGGACGGGUGUCCCUCAAGCGGGUGGUAUGCCGUUACGGUGCCCCCGUCAUCGGGCGCGCGCAUCGCCAUGAUCCGGAUCCGGCGGUGUACGCAUAAGCGGACGAUCGCUUCAUCUUGAGCGCGAAGAUGAAGAUCGUCAACUAGAGUGGUACCACGGCAUCUACCUGUCGUCUCUAAC